This 497-nucleotide ribosomal RNA is filed under the name uncultured bacterium. RNAcentral describes it as "partial 16S ribosomal RNA". It matches the Rfam family "Bacterial small subunit ribosomal RNA", at positions 28 to 507 of the family's 1533-position model. The record is from RNAcentral.
GAUGAACGCUGGCGGCGUGCCUAAUACAUGCAAGUCGAGCGAACGGACGGAAUCCUGCUUUUCUGAUGUUAGCGGCGGACGGGUGAGUAACACGUGGAUAACCUACCUAUAAGACUGGGAUAACUUCGGGAAACCGGAGCUAAUACCGGAUAAUAUUUUGAACCGCAUGGUUCAAAAGUGAAAGACGGUCUUGCUGUCACUUAUAGAUGGAUCCGCGGUGCAUUAGCUAGUUGGUAAGGUAACGGCUUACCAAGGCAACGAUGCAUAGCCGACCUGAGAGGGUGAGCGGCCACAGGGGGACUGAGACACGGCCCACACACCGACGGGAGGCAGCAGUAGGGAAACUUCGGCAAUGGACGAAAGUGAGACCGAGCAACGACGCGUGAGUGAAGAAGGUUUUCAGAUCGUAAAAAACUGUUGGGAGAGAAGAACGUGGGGGAGAGUGGAAAGCUCAGCAAGUAAAGGGAACGAACCAGAAAGGGACGGCUAACUACGUG